AUGAAAUCAUCAGGAAGGGUCCGAACCACGGCAGCUCUGCCCUCCUCGGAAGCCAAGGGCACGGCCCUGCUGACCCCCAGCCUCCCCUCUGCAGCUCCAACAGCCGUGUCCUGGAGCAGACGUGUCCUGCAGGCAUCAGAGGCUUGGAUGAAAGCCCAUUGAAGACUAUUCGAAUUUUCUGACUGACUUCUGGAAGAUAUUGUUGAAAGGACAAAGCACUAAGUAUAACACAACUUAGCAACAGCUUUCUGCCUGGGGUUUGGGGAUGGGCUAAGUGACUUCUACUUAUCCUCUCGCUAGGCUUUAGUUUCUCUGACUCUCUGAAACUUGAGAAAACCAUCUCAGCACCAUUUUGAAGGACAAAGACCUGCCGAUUCCAGGAGGAAGCACAGAACAGUCCUUUGAAAGGGUCAUCUACUGAGAAGUAAACUUUCUUACAUACGUAGCUCUGAAUUUUGAAAGUAGCUCAGGGCAAAUGUGGGUAAUGGUGAAACUGGUUUAUUUCUGUCAGAAAGUUAGGCUUUUAGUUGAAGCUAGUCAUUUAAGCCGUAGAAAGAGAGGCUGUUGCCUUCGAAGGAUGAAUCAUGCCACCCACUUUAGGCACUGCACAUUGGAAAAGGUGACUCACCCUCUGGAAAUGCCUCCCUUUCUCUCCGCAGCCUUUAGAUGAAACCUGGAUCACCAGCUUAGACACCCCAACUUUUAAAUGGCUAAAACUAGGUACAAGUAAUCCUUCCGGAAGAAGACACAGAGAUUAGCAUGCUUCCCAGAACAGCACUAGGAUGGAUAUCACACCACUGUUGUUCCAUCUGUAGGAUGCUUGAGGCAGGUGAAGGUCUUGCUGCCCAGCAGUGGGUCAGGCCAGAUUCAGGCUUAAUCUCAGCUGAGCUCUCCUGUGAAACAGCAGCCCUGCUUUCUGCUUGUAAUGUUACAACAUAAAGAAAAGUACAGCAAUAAAAACAAGACAGUAAAGUCCUAAGCUGCACCCUUGUCUCCCUCCUGCCAACCCUUAAAUGAGGUCUGGGAAGGGGUAGAUCCUGGCUCCACCCCUUCCACUCACUCAGGUGCAUUGCAUAGACCUGAGCAUCCCUAGGUUGGCCCUGCCUUUCCACCAGGUGCUCAAUCACUGCUUCAGGCUGUGACUUAGCAUUUCUGUGACAGUGCUGUAAGGCAUAGAGCCCUCAGAGCCCAGGGUGUCUUCAAAAACCCUUUACCUCCUGUUCUCCACCAUGCCACUUGGACACCACACACAUGGACUGUGAUGCCUUCUUUCCAUCCUGAGUUCACUAACUCUGUUCCAACAUCUCCAGCAAGUUUGGCUUGGUGUCUCUGAUACUACACCCCAAGAUCCUGUGAGCAGAUGGGAACUGAGAACAGCGCUCAGCAGCAUUUCCCAGAUGUGCCUGCAGCUGGGCUGGCUGUGCCCAUCCCUGCUGUGUCAGCCUGGAAGCACCAGUCCAGCACUUGACAAUAUUCCUGGAGCACGGCCAAUUCUCUGAUGACAGCGCAUGAGAGCAGUGUUCACGUUUCCCAUUUCCACAAAGCCACGUGACAGAAAAGAAGUCAGGACUGGUACUUGCUUUUUCAUGCUCAGAGUUUCUCCCUUGCAUUCUGUUGAGGGCUGCAUCAUUAUAUUCAUUUAUAAAAGUGACCUGAAGACAAAUGCGCACAAGCCUUCUUGCCUUCCCAUUGCUAUCUUGGAGGCAAGGCUCCAGUUUUUAGCCAUAUGACACAGUGAGAUAAGCCUUACAAUAAAAAGCAAACAAUGCAAGGCCAGCCCCGGGCCUCCAAGUCGCGAUCUCCGUUUGUUCAGCAUUUUCCCAGAAGGUUGUUGGAGAUACCUGUGGGUACGGCUGAAUGCAGAGAGUCGACUUUGCAGAAGCAAAGAGCACAGCAUUCUGGGUUAUUAAACCAUUUGUCUUACAGCCCCGGGGAAAAUGAGUUUGCUACAGAAAGUCACUAAUGGACCGAGUUUCCUCAUCUCAAGCUUUCUUCUCUGCGUUUCGCAGCAUCCCCAGCUUGGCACCAUUGUAAGCAUGAGCACCAACUUGUGUUGAGAAGAGAGCAGAGACCGAGAAAUGCAAAAGAGGGAUGUGUCAGAAAAGCUAUUUUUGAAACUGUCUCUGGCUCUUGACUGCAUUAUCUCCAGAUCUCCCCUCGACUGCAUUUUUUCAUCGUUCAUGGUAGGUUGAAGGCAUUUUUCAGCACGGUGUUAAAAGAACAUUGCAAAUUCAUCAAGAAUUUCCCUCAUAAUUAACAAAACAGAAACAAAAACAGAGUUGAGACUGUCAAAAAAUUCAUUCUAGGAGUAAACUAUAUUCUCUAUGGCACGGUAAUACAAUAUGCUGUUAAAUUCUUUCACUCAGAAGGGAAUAAAGGAUAUUUGAGCAUAAAUGCAUUAUCCACAAUCCACAAUAGCACAGCCUAUCCCCCUGUGGAUAAUGCUAUUAGUGCUACAUUUCAAAUUAAAAAGCAUAUGCUCUUCUUUCAAAAACAAGGGAGUGCUGCCCACUUCCUUCACUUGACUAAAAACAAAAGCUUUUAAAGUGAUAAAACAGCAUUCAUUUGAUAAAAACAACCAUCUGCACCUG
Gallus gallus (chicken) is the source of this 2591-nucleotide long non-coding RNA. The record is from Ensembl. Lineage: Eukaryota; Metazoa; Chordata; Aves; Galliformes; Phasianidae.